Molecule: ribosomal RNA, 253 nt
Filed under: uncultured prokaryote
Description: partial 16S ribosomal RNA
Rfam family: Bacterial small subunit ribosomal RNA
Source: RNAcentral
ACGAAGGGGGCUAGCGUUGCUCGGAAUUACUGGGCGUAAAGCGCACGUAGGUGGCUCUUUAAGUCGGGGGUGAAAUCCUGGAGCUCAACUCCAGAACUGCCUUCGAUACUGAAGAGCUUGAAUCCGGGAGAGGUGAGUGGAACUGCGAGUGUAGAGGUGAAAUUCGUAGAUAUUCGCAAGAACACCAGUGGCGAAGGCGGCUCACUGGACUGGUAUUGACGCUGAGGUGCGAAAGCGUGGGGAGCAAACAGGA